This 253-nucleotide ribosomal RNA is filed under the name uncultured bacterium. Its description in RNAcentral is "partial 16S ribosomal RNA". It matches the Rfam family "Bacterial small subunit ribosomal RNA", at positions 524 to 776 of the family's 1533-position model. The record is from RNAcentral.
CACGUAGGGCGCGAGCGUUGUCCGGAAUUAUUGGGCGUAAAGAGCUCGUAGGCGGCCUGUUGCGUCCGCUGUGAAAGCCCGGGGCUUAACCCCGGGUCGGCAGUGGAUACGGGCAGGCUAGAGGUAGGUAGGGGAGAAUGGAAUUCCCGGUGUAGCGGUGAAAUGCGCAGAUAUCGGGAGGAACACCGGUGGCGAAGGCGGUUCUCUGGGCCUUACCUGACGCUGAGGAGCGAAAGCUAGGGGAGCAAACGGG